GGAUUCUAUCAGUUUGCUAAAAGAUUUGAUCUUUAAGCUUUAGUUUUCUUUUUUCUUGUAUAAGAAGGGUACAUGUUCCUGCAAGGAAGUCAAAACAUCUUUUUAAACAGAAAAUAUUUAUCGAUAGGCUAUGAAAAGCAGCACCAAAUGAGGCAGACAUUUAGAUUGGGUGUUCCAGUUGUGAGUCAGCCUUAGGGCCAUGGUGAGUGGCUGGGUUCUGUUCAUGUUAUGAAUGGGUUUUGCCUCCUGCUGCCUAGUUUUCUAACUUUGUCUUUAGUGCAAGUUUUCCCGGGUGGACCCACCCAUUCUCGACGAUGUGCGCUGCCUGGUCCUAUUGGAAAAUGCAGAGCUUGCCCAGGUGCAGGCUCAGACAGGUGUGGGGUGGCUCUGCUCCUCCACCCUGAACCAACAUGGCAUCUCCAUGGAGACCACCCCACACACUGAUCUCACGAGGAUAGCCACACCUGAGCACACAACCUUGGGUAGGGACCAGCUUUUCUUUUCUCUUUGGAAAAGAGAAACUGUGUGGGAGAAGGAUGAUUUUACGUGAGUGAAGCGUUCCCUGGCCCUCACACAGCCCAAGGACUAAUGUCUGCACGGGAGGGCGGUGCUCACGGCAGCCUUGGGGAUGAUGCGUGGACCUUCCAGUGGAGCUUGCCUUGGAAACAGGUCUUCCCAGCCUCAAGGAAAUGGCCAGCUGUCUGCCUCUGGCUGUCCUGUUCCCUCAUCACCAGCUUAGAAAGCCUCCAUGGUGUCAUACCGAAUAAAGUCCAGAUUCCUUCACAGGGGACUGCAGGUGGCCCUCAAGGAACUCCUUGUACCUAAUAUUUUUCCUCACUGCCGGCAAGUAUUAGUUGUUCAAUACUUGUUGAAAUAAGAUGAACUUGUGGCUUCAGAGACCACCAGGUAUGUUAUUAAGAUGUGGCAUCUCUUUCUCAGGAUGUAUGUUUACACGCUGGGUUGAUGGCACAUCACAGCCGGUUUGGGAUUCCCUGGGCAGAGGUCUGCUUGAAACUCUUCUGUAGUCCCUCCCAGAUCCUGAGGUCCUCAUGUGACUUUGCUUGGAGGUGUCCCCUGCUGGGCAGUGGCGCUUGUAUCAGGAAGGUGGGAUUCAGAGACUAAGACCCCGGAGUGCAGGAAGCCAGUGUCUGGAUGAGCAGGUAGGAACUCAGGUGGUAGAAUCAGAGGUGUGGGUGCCAGGAAUCUAGGUGCAUCGUCUGGUCCUACUGGGAUGAGUGGUGAAAUAUAGCAGGCUCCUUAGGAAGGAGCUGGGCUGGGGUCAGCCUGGGUGUUAGAUGGCAGGAGAUCUGAAGGUACCGGGUUCAGUUUGAUUUCUCUUCUCCACUGGUCUCUUUUUUUCUUAAAACAUAAAGGGUGUCUUUGCCCAGUGUGAUUCGUCCACUCCCAGGUAUGGCACAUUCCACAACUCCAGGGCUCUGUGUGAUGCCGCCACUGCCACCCAGUUGCCAGGCCAAGCCCUGACUUUACAGUCUGAAAGCCUAUCAGGCAGAUAAGUCCCUAAUAGGGACUUUGUUUGACCUGCUAGGGUCAGCAGGAAAUUGAGCUAACAUUUUAAAAUUAUGACAUUUUGCCUAAAAUGUCUAUUUCUGGUUUCUUUUUAAAAAAACUGGAAGACCUUGUAAGACUGGGCUUUUUUUCCCUAUAAGGCAGCUCCAAGCUGGAGUCAAGCAGUGGCUGCUUCUGCGGACAGGGCAGGUGGGCACCUGUGUGACAUGGGGGUCUCCUAGCUUACUUCAUUCAUUGACUGUCCUGACCGGUGGCCUGGCCUUAAGGUCACAGUCCAGGAAAAUAUCAUUGAUACAGC
Molecule: long non-coding RNA, 1825 nt
Organism: Bos indicus x Bos taurus (hybrid cattle)
Lineage: Eukaryota; Metazoa; Chordata; Mammalia; Artiodactyla; Bovidae
Source: Ensembl